Molecule: long non-coding RNA, 1416 nt
Filed under: Oreochromis niloticus (Nile tilapia)
Lineage: Eukaryota; Metazoa; Chordata; Actinopteri; Cichliformes; Cichlidae
Description: lncRNA (ENSONIG00000036462.1)
Source: RNAcentral
GUUUAUGGAAAUGUAUUGAAGAUAAACGUAACUCAAGCCAGGUGUUUUUGGUCAGAACAAGCAGUUUGUAAACUCUGCGCUGUUAUGAUAAAUGACAUUGAAUAAAGAGAAGCAAAUAAAACUGAUGAAUACAAAAACAAUCUUAACCGUACAAGACAAGUAUAGAUUGAGUUGGGCUGUUACAAGUUUAAUUCAUAACAGUUACAUUGCCUCACCCCUGCCAUCAAACCCUUCAGUGGCUUCAAGUGUAGGCAUAGCCUCUACAGGUACUGCAGCAGAAGGAAAGCAGAGUCAGGAGGGUCUUGGAAGAAGUUCAGAAAAGAUCCAAAUAGGCAGUCUGAACAGUCUUACUUGUUUGCAGGUGGAGUAAUGCACGAAUGGAUAAAAAAGAGUGAGCUGUUGAGGAGCAAAUGGAGAUCCGUGUCCAGGGGAGUGAUGCUAUUGCGAGUGUGAAAGGUUGUCCAGGAAGUAACUAAGAAGACAUGAACAGAGAGGUAAGUACUAGAGCUAUGAGCAACGUGAGGCCAAUAACUGACAUUGGUUAACAGAUAAUAUGGCAAAGACUGGUUGUGAACGGUGGUCUUAAAUACAGCUGGCUUGAUUUGUCUCAGGUGGUGAUCCUCAGAGGACCGAUGAAGUAGAGCAGCCAGCACCCCAAGUAGAGCAGGCACUGUGGAAAAAUAGUUGUGACUCAACUAGACCAUUACAAAGUAUGGCCUGGAGGAUUUUCAUCUCAAGGUGCAAGAACAUUCUUAAUGACUGUACACGGCAGCUGCUGAUGGACGAUGUUGGGCCAGAUGUGCUACAGUUAGCGUUAAGGAGGUUGGAGACAAUGCAGAGAAGCCUUCAGUGGGCAAGAGGAAGACUGAUCAAUGUAACUGCAGCAGAUCAACUUCUGCGUGACUUGGCUGAAUUGAUUCAGGAUGUCGAACUGUCUACUCAGCAUGGGCAACAAGGCUGUUUUGGAUACCAGGCACCAGUGGUUUUCAGCAGAGGUAGAGGUAGAUCCCUUUACCUUAUCACUCGGGAACAGCUUUCAUUCCUGAAGUCAUGUGGAUUCACUGCACCUCAGAUGGCUGAUAUUUUGAGUGUUUCACUUCGUACAAUUUGAAGACGUCUGCGACAGUAUCAUUUCACCCGUGCAUCAAUGUAUGCGGAACUGACUGACAGUGCCUUGGAUGAACAUGUGCAGGACAUUGUCGCUGGCAAUGAACAAACUGGUCCUGAGGCUGUCAGAGCCUCCCUGCGAGUACGUGGACUACGUGUACAGCGAAGGAGGGUUUGAGCAAGCAUGUUACGGAUGAAUCCUGGAGCAGCUGCCCUUAGAGCAGUUUUGCGGAGACCAGAACGAAGAACAUAUCAGGUUGCAGGUCCAAACUCAUUGUGGCACAUUGCUGGAAAUCACAAGCUGAUAAG